This 293-nucleotide long non-coding RNA is filed under the name Elaeis guineensis (African oil palm). RNAcentral describes it as "long non-coding RNA (EGUI_LNC066267)". The record is from RNAcentral. Lineage: Eukaryota; Viridiplantae; Streptophyta; Magnoliopsida; Arecales; Arecaceae.
UUAGUGUUGGCGAGAAAGUUGAGGAGAAGAACAUUGCUUUCUCUUUCUUCCUCCUUCUUAUGAGUUCUUGGUGACUGCUCAUCUAAUGGGGAAGAGCACCAUCAAGAUAGACAAGGACAUCAUGGUGAUUCUUAGGCUGAAGAAUCUUACUUCGAGCAUAGGCGGCAGCACAACUUUGGCAGUUUCUAAAGGAGCAGGAGGUGGCAGAUGGAACGACAAAAGAUCAUGAUGAGGGUGCUCCAUGUCCAGGGUGAGGGAUUUGAGCAAGGCCAGAUGUUAUCAGUGUGAUGAGU